RNAcentral lists this ribosomal RNA (309 nucleotides) under Triticum aestivum (bread wheat). Its description in RNAcentral is "partial small subunit ribosomal RNA". The record is from RNAcentral. Lineage: Eukaryota; Viridiplantae; Streptophyta; Magnoliopsida; Poales; Poaceae.
AUGGAGCUCGCGGUGAGAGCCGCGGCGGCUUCCUGCUCCUCCUCCCCGUCGCUCCAUCCCCCACGCGUCCCCUGCCGCCUUGGCCACAGCCCAGGCCUGCCGCUGCCGGCUCGCCGAGUGGCCGUAGCCGCGGCGGCCAUCGCCCUCGACCCGUUUCAGGAGACCAAAACCAAUCUGAAUGACGUCUCAAAAACCGAGGUGUUCGCAUGCCCUGUUUGCUAUGAACCUCUGAUAAGGAAAGGGCUGUCAGGCAUGAAUCUGCCAGUGAUUUAUAGGUCAGGAUUUAAAUGUUCGAAAUGCAACAAGUGA